GACGAACGCUGGCGGCGUGCCUAAUACAUGCAAGUCGAACGAGAGCGACCGGUGCUUGCACUGGUCAAUCUAGUGGCGAACGGGUGAGUAACACGUGGGUAACCUGCCCAUCAGAGGGGGAUAACAUCCGGAAACGGAUGCUAAAACCGCAUAGGUCUUCGAGCCGCAUGGCUUGAAGAGGAAAAGAGGCGCAAGCUUCUGCUGAUGGAUGGACCCGCGGUGCAUUAGCUAGUUGGUGAGGUAACGGCUCACCAAGGCCGUGAUGCAUAGCCGACCUGGGAGGGUGAUCGGCCACAUUGGGACUGAGACACGGCCCAAACUCCUACGGGAGGCAGCAGUAGGGAAUCUUCCGCGAUGGACGCAAGUCUGACGGAGCAACGCCGCGUGAGUGAAGAAGGUUUUCGGAUCGUAAAACUCUGUUGUUAGAGAAGAACAAGUGCUAGAGUAACUGUUAGCGCCUUGACGGUAUCUAACCAGAAAGCCACGGCUAACUACGUG
This 498-nucleotide ribosomal RNA is filed under the name uncultured bacterium. RNAcentral's name for it is "partial 16S ribosomal RNA". It matches the Rfam family "Bacterial small subunit ribosomal RNA", at positions 28 to 507 of the family's 1533-position model. The record is from RNAcentral.